UAUCUGCCCACUGAUUUUAUAAUUAAAGGGCUGCAGUAUAUUGACUGUACAAAGGUAGCAUAAUCAUUAGUCAUUUAAUUGAUGACUUGUAUGAAGGAUUGGAUGAAAUAUAAACUGUCUCUUAAUUAUUAAAUAGAAUUUAAUUUUUUAAUUAAAAAGUUAAAAUAUAUUAAAAAGACGAGAAGACCCUAUAGAUUUUUAUAAAAAAUUUAGUUAAUAUUAUUUAUGAAAAAUUAAAAUUAAAAUUAAAUUUAUUUAUUGUAUUGGGGUGAUAGAAAAAUAUAAAAAACUUUUUAUAUAUUAAAACAUUUAUAAGUGGUUAAAUGAUCCAAUAUUAUUGAUUAUAAGAAAAAAUUACCUUAGGGAUAACAGCGUAAUUUUUUUUUUUAGUUCGUAUAAGAAAAAGAGUUUGCGACCUCGAUGUUGGAUUAAGAUAAAAUUUAAAUGCAGAAG
RNAcentral lists this ribosomal RNA (453 nucleotides) under Sesamia cretica. RNAcentral describes it as "partial 16S large subunit ribosomal RNA". The record is from RNAcentral. Lineage: Eukaryota; Metazoa; Arthropoda; Insecta; Lepidoptera; Noctuidae.